This 322-nucleotide ribosomal RNA is filed under the name Dermacentor variabilis (American dog tick). RNAcentral's name for it is "partial small subunit ribosomal RNA". Lineage: Eukaryota; Metazoa; Arthropoda; Arachnida; Ixodida; Ixodidae. The record is from RNAcentral.
GGACUUUGCUCUGUAAUGCACCAAACACCUAAUUCUUACUUUAGUUAGUAAAAUCAAUUUGUAUACCACUAUUUGAAUUAUAAUAUACAAUUAUUAUUAGAAUAUAAUUUAUAUUAUAAAUUAAGUCAAGGUGCAGUAAAAAUUAAAGAAUGAAGUGAAUUACGUUUCUUUUUAGAAGAAAAAAAUGAAAAAUUAUUUCGCAUUUGAAAGUGAAAUUAAAAUAGUAUGUUAAUUUGAAUUUAGCUCUAAGAUAUGUACACGUCGCCCGUCGCUCUAAUUAAAAUAAGAAACCGUACCCUAGUGACAAUGACGUCCAGCCCUC